Molecule: long non-coding RNA, 11280 nt
Filed under: Triticum aestivum (bread wheat)
Lineage: Eukaryota; Viridiplantae; Streptophyta; Magnoliopsida; Poales; Poaceae
Description: long non-coding RNA (TAES_LNC000446)
Source: RNAcentral
UUUUUUUUUGUGUGUGUGCGUGAUUGUAGGACGUGGGGCGUGGAGUAUGUUAUUUUCCUCUGCGGCGGAGUACGGUCAGUCAAUGUAAAUUACAAACUGCACACAGAUAAUGUAUUAGGCUAAGUCUAGCCACUCGAUUAAGUUUAGUAGGCCUAAUCAUUAGACGGUAAUGGGUCCGUGUACAUUUAUGGGGUGUGUUUAGAGAAGAUCAUGUUUGGUCUUUUUUUUGCGGGAAAUCAUGAGAGCUUUAUUCAAACAAAAGAGCUCCUGGGAUCAUCAGCCAUCAGGCUACUGAUCGGGAACGAGGGUUCAGAGUCGAGCCAACUCUCGGUCACCAUCAGCGAGCUGGCACGCUUCGCACAAAGGUGGGCCGGGAUAUUAGCUGACCUGUAUACAUGUUGAAUAACAAAGGAAUCAAAAAACAAAGCAUGCUCUCCAAUCUCUACAAGUAAAGGGGCCACAACCGAACGAGAGUUGUGGUGAGUGUUUCAGAGAUUCACAAUCUCCAAGCAGUCGGUUUCCAUUAUCACGUGUGAGAAUCCUCGCAAGCGAGCAAAGAGAACUCCCCCCCUUAGUGAUAAGGCUUCGGCAAUGAGUGGGUCUGUAACUCCCACAUGUGGUUUGCAUCAUGAAGCGAUCAAUGCCAUAGAAGAACGAGCAACAACGCCGGCACCAGCGAGUCCUGCUUCAGAACUUAUAGCACCAUCAACAUUGAUCUUGAUGAACCCAAUAUCAGGGGGGCGCCAACCGUGCCCUGGCAGUAUAGUAGCUUGUGCAGCUGGUAUAUCUAGCAAGGCUAGAUCUUCUCGUAUGCGAUGAACAGAGUACACCGGAUCUACAUGUUCCUUCUCAUGAGUCCAUCGGUUCCAUCAUGUUUGGUCUUUUAUAAGUAGUAAAUAGAGACCCAGAGGUAUUUUGCUCUCACAUGCACGUAUCUUUUUUUGAGUUUCAUUUUUUUAAAUGUUUUUAUUUAAAUAGUUGAGGCUACGCCACGAUUUUUUUUCCAGUUACCCUCCACGUUGGGGGUCUGAGCUAAAUUGUUUUCUAAGUUUUCUCUCACUUUUUUGAUUCAUCCGGUUUUCAGCACUUCUUUAUUUAUAUUUAGAGUAUUUUCGUACUAUCGUGGAAAGCAAAUAGAACAUUGACGAUGAAUCGCUUGAAUUUGAGAAGCAACACAGAAUGGCUAAGUGGAGCAACGACAGACGGCAAAUGUUUCAUUGAAACACUAAAACAUACUAGUAUAAUGCCCAUGCGUUGCCACGGGCUCUUGAAAUGUUUUGCUUGAAUUAUGUAAACAUAAUGCAUGUAAAAAAAAGAUAGCACAGGUAUAAUCGAGUAAUAAUUUAAGUCCACUUCACUUACAUUGUAAACUGUUAAUAAAAGGCAAUUUGACAAUGCAUACAUAUAGUGCGAUGAUCAAACUAAAAAUUUGUUACAAAUUAAUAUCUAUUUGAUGCGUUUAACAAAUUCUUGCAUAAUAACCGUCCACCAUGACCGCUCCACCACCAUCCUGAGGCUCGACAUGAGUCAACUUUAAUCGUGCCAAAUAUACAUUGUUUGGAUCCUCAUGCACAUUAAGCAACAUUCUUAAUUUUUUUUCUACCUAUAAACCACUAUUCUUCUUCGUCUUCGUUCUCCUGCUCCUCUUCACUUACUAUCUCUACAUUCCCUGUCCAAGCCAACCGCAACCAUCAAUGGCCCAUCCGGCUCAAAAUCCCCAAACCUUCUACACCCAGACUACAAAUUUUAAGGGACUUUUUGCCAAUAUUUUCUCCUUUCAAGUCUGCAAACAACAAUAUUAAUGUAAAGUAAUUAGUGUAAAGUGGUUUAUGCCCACUCAUGGCCAGUACAACCACAAACUCUGCCGUCUCGCCUACAUGAUGUGUGUCUACUCCCACAAUUUUCCCCCUUACUCUAGCGAGGCCUCCAUUACUUCCGAAUAUUUUGUUCGGAUUAUUUGCCAUCAAGGAUAAAUUAGCAUAUGUGAUAAAAGUCCCUAUGAUUUGACACUAUAGAGGUAGAGCAACAUGAAAAAUAAAAGAUCAUGCUUAUAAUCUUUGGACUUUUGUAGUUUAAAAAAAUGGCGAUAAUCUUACAACAUUUUUCAAACUCCCGUCCUAAUUGAAAAUGAUUGAUGCAUUAAGGAACACCUAUGGAAUCCAAAAAAAAAACUAAUAGCAAGCGACAGUGACAUGGAUGGCUACCUUAUUGCUUUGGAAGUGGAUGGCAUGAGCCGUCCCCCAUAUGCACGAAACAGUCCUAGCCAUGCACAGUUAGCCAAGAAACAUUGGGUCAAAACAAGGGUGUUGGUACCUUGAGCAACGACGCCAUCACGUUGAUAAAUGCCCAACCCAAUUGCUCGUCGCCAUCCUCGGCCACCACCUGGACACACUCCUCUAGACCCAGGCGUUUCGAACGACAUCCUCCCUGCUUCCCCUGGGCGAUGGCCGACUACCGUAACUUCUCUGGAGCGAAUCCUUCCAAAGCGCUGCCGACAACAUCGUCCCUGUGGCGCUGCUCCUUCCUUUUCGUGCCUUUUGCUUCAUUCACCUCCUUCCUAUGAAGUUUUAGUUACAAGGUACAUUUCAGUAAUCAGUAAAAAAUGCAGAUAUUAGUACAAGAAAAAUGUGCCACUUGACAAAGUUUUAGUAGAAAUCAGAUUUUCGUACAACAAGAUAUUUUAGUACGUACUAAAAAGAAUAGUACAAGGGCAAUAAUCCAAACAAUAUCAUCAGAAGUAUGAAACUGAACCUUUAGUCGCAGCAGGUGACUACCCUUGUCAUCUCAAGAUUCAAGCCUCUCCUCUUAUCUUGUUCUCCGAGCAUGCACUAAAAACUGCAAAAAAUACAGAACAUGUACAUGUGUGAACUGAAAUAGUGGAACUCAAACAAACCUUCAUCGAUAGAUCUUUCUUGAACUAUAUGGUCGAUUAUGUACAUGGUCCUCAUAAUGAAAACUAAAAUAUUGAGUUAGCCUUUCCCAUAUCUUUUUUGAAGAAAAUCAUAAGCAUCAGCACCUACUAUGUGGAAGACAAAUCUCCCAGCUUGUUUAUGAUUCAGAACUCAACUGCAUUCAGGCCAAUACGAAUAGCAUCUCAAGGAUCUAGGUAAAUACCUGGAACAAAACUCAAUGAAGAACCAUAACAUCAGUCAAAACUAAACAUGGAAAUUUUGAACUCACUGACUUUAUGUCAGUCCAGUAGAACGCCCGUGCAUUGCUACGGGCUACAAUGCAUAUAAAUAAAUCAAAAAAAUAAUUAAAUUCUAAAGUGGAAGCUCAUUUCUCCCUCCUACUUUCGAGUGUGAACGUACAUCAAACGGACAUCUAACAGGAUCCCCAAAAUUCAACCGUCUGGAGAAUAGGGUAUCUUCAAAUCCAUGCAUAUCCAUAUGUGAGGAAGAAAUAUGGUUAUCCAGACUAUCUGCCAUGUUAUCUCUAACAUGCGCGGACCGAACAAAUUAAAAAAAACACCCACGACGCACCCUUCUCCUUCCCUGCCGAACCCUCACCUCCCCGCUCAUUUCCCGCCAUAGCGGGACAUUUUUCACUGGAGCCCUCUCCAUUGAAACCAGAUAACGCCCAUCUCACCUUUGUCAUGUCGCACUCUCUUCUUCACAUUGUAUUUCCCCACGGACCGCCGAGGAGUCCCCCGCCAACCGCCCCGCUCUCCAUUUUGUUCCCCUCCCCAUGUGUUUCUGUCGAUAGGGGGGAGUUGUGCGCCACCUAUGACACCCUCCGAGCCAAGAAGGUAGAUCUGAUGUCUCCUUAGCCAUUUUCAGAUUGUAACAUAUAGUUCCCCUCCCCAUGUGUUUUUGUGGAACCAACGUCGGGGGUCAGCUGAGCGCCACCCUGGCGCUGGUUUUGGCAAUGCUCCAUGUGCCCAGAGAUUCCGCAUGAUCCACCGAUGCAGUGAAGGCAGGAUAUUCCUGUUAGUACUGUAUAUAUGUCAUUAGGGCCUCUUGUACUGCCUUCAAGAUUAAAAAAAUAGAUCUAUACAAGAAAAGCAGAUCCUUCAAAAUUGCAAUAUCAACAAAUAUUACACCUAUGCAUUACUAAGGUCUAAGGAGUAUUAAAAUAUGAGAUUUACAGGAAACAAAUUGGAAAACUAUUGAGAUAUUUCAAAAGAGAAAACAUAUAUACAAGGGAAUAUAUUGCUUCAAUUCUCACAUUUUCAGGCCUGUCACCUCCAUCGUAAUUAUAUGCGUCUUUAUCCCUCUAGGACUACAGGAGAAAAAUGCAUAUGCACACGUUAGUGGGUACCAUGUUAACAAAAGAAAGUUCUUUCGAUUAACAAUAGCAGUACCAUAAAUGUUGUUCCACUUCUCUACAGCGCAAUGGUUGCCUGGCACUGAAAAGUCUAUCUCAUUCUUACCUGCUGAAUGGUUUCCUUUAGCUGUCGCUAUUCUUUACGGAUAUACCGUUGCUGGCCUAACUGUCUCUCGUGAAAUCACGUUAGAGCAUGUGUGACUGGACUAUAUAUUCCCUUCAUCCGAAAAAGCUUGGGACAAGCUUUUUUGGAUGGAGGGAGUAUGUUGGACUGGAAUAUAUGUGUCUCGGCUGGACUGGACCUAUCCGGCCGUUAGAUACUUGUGGUGUGAGGAAUGAAAGGAACAGUGUAUACAGAUGAGUAAAUAUGGUACUAUAUAAAUGCAAAGGUAUCACAACUAUUGUCUGUUGGUCUAGUGAGAAACGACGUAGCUCUUUUGCCACCAAAUUAUCCUGGAACAUGCAAAUACAGUACAAAAAGAUGUUGGAUUUGCCCGCUGAAUAACAAAUUCAGUUAGAAUUUCAUGUCGGCAGCAAUCAAGAUUUCUUAUUGCCAUUACGAAAGGACGAAGCAGAGUAGAGAUAGUAGCAACUGGCCACCAAAUGUUCGGACUACGAUUGUUUGAGAGCACGUGGCAAAAUCUUGAAGUUAUUUUGGAGCUAUCAAAUACUGCAAUCCAUAUGAUCAUAUAUUACAUCACAUAAGAAUAAGAUGCUACUGUAAAUGAUAUACUUACUGAAUUUAAUUUAUCAGGUAAUCGUUCAGUCACUACAACAUUAUUUAGUUCUGCAAACAUCUUGAUUAAUAGAUUACGGGAUACCUUUAGAAGACUUGAUGUAACCAACGUGUGACUAAUCCAUCCUGUCAAGUUUGUUGGGAAUUCCAAUAGCAUGUACUGCAGGUAAUCAUGCGAAACAAAUUCUGGAAUAUAAAGAGGGACAACAAAGAGUUAUAGGUUGAAGUGGUAUAUAGUUUCAAACGAUUACCUGAUAAACAUAGUGUCAGUCUCCAACUCUGCAAUAAUGACCUCUUAUGCAGGAACCUACAAGAAACUGAGGGAAAUACAUAUACAAAAUCAAGCUGUACAUUUGACAGUACUUGGUAAGAAUGGUAAGAUACAGAUAAUUAAAGUACAUAACUUGCAAAACAAUUUGUUUGCUGCAUUACAAUUAGAAAACACAUCAAUCACUGCAUUUCUAAGAUUGUAAACCUGAACCUCCACAGUUAGUACUCCAUGACAAAGAGCAAAAGCAAUGCAUCGAUGCAUAACCAAACCACACGGGGAUGCCAACAUUCACCUAGAAAACCUGCUGGAAGUACAAAAUCCCUGACAGCCCGGGGAAUCGAAGAAUUCGCCUUUUCAUCUUUGACAGUGUUCAUCAAAGAUUCAUCAUGAUUCUCCCAAUGAACAUGCAGCUUAGAGUUGCCAUCCAACAAAUACUUGAUAGUCACGUCAAUCAGACAAUGAGAAACUCUCGCAAAUACAGACUUGAUAACUCUUUGCAAAUUCAGUCAGGCAUAUCAGCAAACAAAUGGACGGCUGCUAUUGGAUUUCAGAAAAGAAGAUACCAAUCUGUUGCGGCCACAUUCCCAGGCAGAUGUGGCGUCCAUGGCUGCUGAGUCAUGCGACCUUUGGCAAGUAUGCAACCAAUUUCAGAAGAGAAGAUACCAAUCUGUUGUGGCCAUGUUCCCAAGCUGAUGUGGCGUCCAUGGCUACUGUGUCAUACGAUCUUUGGAAGUAUGCAACCAAUUAGAACUGAAUGUUUCAGAGAUGGUAUGAAUUAAUUAGACUUAUAACUAAAUUGCUGAGAUUAAACAUACAUUACUUCGGCCUUCAGUCCUAGCAGCUGAAACACAUGAAGAAGGCAAUUGAUUUGCAAAAAAUAAAGGGGGUGAUGGAGAGAACAUGUAACUCACUCAAGAAUUACACAACCAACACGAAUCUAUUACGGAGCAUUAUAAAAAUUAUUAACUUUAAAGUAUGAUCCGUGAGAUAAAAAAUAAGAUAGUGUUUUUUAUUCAAUCGCCAUAUUUUGAACUGAUACUUCGAAACAAACCUGUUGUGACAUUUUGCUAGCAAUCAGGUCACUGAAGGUGGGGCGGUGUCGGACGAAAAAUAAGCAGUUUGGAUUAUCCACAUACCUCUGUUGGUUUACCAUAUCACAUGAUGCAGCCGAUGUGCAUAAAAUCAAUAGCCGUGGGGAAGAUUUGUGUUCUUUGCUCUUCUCCUUCAUCAUUCAUAAUGCUAGCAUGGAGAAAAAGCAUUGUUGCCCAUCUCUUAUUUGAAAAGAUCGCAAAAUCCAAAAAAGGAUGAAAUGUAGAGACUGCGAGAGCAAUAGGAAUACCACCGAUGGAUCCCCUCAGUGGUCGUAUGUUGAUUGAAUAUUUGCCGCUGAUGAUCUGUACUUGAGGCAGGCCUCGAGGCGUUGGCAUCCAGCACUCCUUUGUCUCGGUGCCCAGCGGUAACGGUGCCAAGGGGGACAGUUCAUCGGCGCCGCCACCGUCUCCUCACCGCCAAGAUCGGCCUCCAGUCUCGCGUUGAGAGGAAGAAACGGGUGGGCAUGCAGGUACCUGCACUUGCCGGUGCGCGGCGGCAGUACCCGCUCGAUCUGCGCCUGCAUCUACUCGUCGGCGCCGAGCGCCUCCUCCUCGCUGCGCACAUUAUGGGGGGUUCCUCGUCGGCGCCGCGCUCCCGGCGCUCUACAUCCUCGACGGCCUCCGGUCCGGGGACACCACGGGGAUCGCCGCCGAGAGUGAGAGAGAAGGUGGGGGCCGGGCUUAGCCGGGAUCGGGGGAGCAGAUGGGGGACGGGCGGCGCCGGGAGCCGGGGAGGAGGUCGGGGGCUGGCGGCACCGAGCGGCGGCGAAGGGAUCUAGCGGUGGUGGUGAGGGGACGAAGGGCGGCGGCGGGGAACGAGGGCACAGAGUUGGGCAACUGUUUCUCGCUCGAGGGCAAGAGACCUCGGUCGUACGUGCGGGUGGUUGGUUUGUGAUUUUUUUCGCUGGUUAAUUUUCGCCGGUUUAUUUUUGCUAGUUUGUUUUCGUUCGUGACAGAUGGGUACGACGGGAGGGUAGGCGCGUGGGGGCGGAUGUGGGACUCGAUCGUGGGGUUUUUCUUGGUUUUUCGCGACUGAGCGGGAGGUGGGAGGAAGUACCAAAGAAGUACCAAAAAAGACCGGGUGAGGUGGGACGAAAAUAAAUCCCGGAACGCGACCUACCAACUGAGACAUUAGGAGUAGAGAUAGGUAAAACGAAAUAUGAGAUAAACAUAUGAACGGGUUGAGAUUUGUUUGCAAGGGUCGAAUCGGAUCUGCGAUUCACCGAAACAAGACAAGGGUUCUGAAAAUCCUAGCGGAUCUUUCCGGUUCCUCAGAUGGAAGGAAACCUUUACAUCCGGGAACUGUUCAGGGACGCGACAAACCUGUAAGCCUACCAAUCAACGAGAACCUGAACCUUUUGCCUCUUUCUAACGGAGAACGGUUAAUUAGGAACCCAUCCAUGGUUGAAAUUUGACCCAAAAAUUGGCUGAAAUUGAAUUACUACAUUUUUUUAAAUCUGUUUGUCAAAAAGGUUUGCUUUUUUCAUUUUUUCUGGACAAAUUAAAUUUUUGGUCAAAAUUCGGUAAAAUACCUGCCCCAUGUGCCAAAACCACCUUUAGAUCAAGUGAGGGGGCCAGUUACACGAAUCCGGUAUUGAAGUAAUUUGUUGAAGAAUCUGAUGCCUGAUGGUCACACAUAGGGAGUGGGAAGUUUAAUUCGUUGAGGUCACGGGUAAUGGUGCAUGGAGGUCAACCGGCACUGUCUGGUUGGGUCCUCAGAUGGGAGGUACGGUGGUUGUGUGGAGAUGGAAAUUUCUCUUCCUCCUCAUCGGUAUGAUUUUCUGCUACUGCUCUUCUUCAUUCUUUGUGCUACUCUAGAGGGAUGCCUUGCUUUGUCCGGGCGGUUGGCCCCGCCGUGGCAUCGGAAUCAGAUCCUUCUUCUCUUCCAUCUGGAAGGGGCAUAUAUAGCGGUGCUCAAAGCCAUAGAUGACGAAGGCUGAUGCAGGCGUGUUGCAUGCACAAGUGUGUCCUUGUCUUUUUGGCGCCGGUGUGAAGAAAAAGGGAAGCAACGUGGCAACGAUUAUGCCGUGGUUGAAGAUGAUGACCUGCUUGUGUCUGGUUGCAGAUUCUUGUUUUGCGGGUGUCUUCUCACAAGAUUUAGGAAUGAGAACACAGAGCUUCAGAGAUCUUCAUGUUUUACUGGUUGAUUCAGGCUGCCCUCUGUUUUUCAGUUUCUUCAUACGUGUGUUAGGGUCUCCUUAUACGGGUCAAAGACUUCGUGUUAUUUGAAUACAAGCAUACUUUAAAAAAGGAGUGAGAAGUUUAAUUUGUUGAAUCAAGUGAGGGGGCAAUUUUCUACUCCCUCCGUAAAGAAAUAUAAGAGUGUUUCUUAUUAAAGUAGUAAUCUAAAUACUUUUAUAUUUGUUUACAGAGGAAGUACUUUCUUGAAAAGAAUGAUUACUUUUGAUUAGGAGGAAUUCACCCAUGGUCACACGUUUGCAGUGUUAAUUAUUUCCCACUCCUGAUGCAAAGCUGCUGCCUGCGGCCUGCCCCAUCUCACGAGUCAACACCACUGGCCUGAAGAAACGGCGUACCACACGUUACUUCCUCGGAGGCGCUCGUCCACUCCUACAGCAUAACUACACCUGACCUAGCAAAUCUGAAUUUUACGCAGCUCCAUUAUUCAUUCAUAGGGAAAGAAGUUCACACCACAAUACUUGCACCCCCGCUAGAACCAGAACACACACAUAACACCCACACACCCACACACACACACCAGGUAGGGGAUAGUCCACGCAGCAAGUGCAAGCUCGCGACAACCAGAGCACAUCAUGCCUCGAAUUAACUUUCGGUACCCACCCGGCGAUCAGGUGUUGUUUCAACGUGCGCUGGAUUAUACCGCUCCUGUUGAAGCGCUACGCCGCGCGCUAAAUUUUACAGUGCCUGUUAAGAGCAUCUCUACCAGACCUCUUAAAAUCGUAACCUGUAAAAUUGAUAUACGGGUCAAAAAAAUACAUUUUAAGGGUUCAUUUUAGCUAUAACCGAACAAAUAUUUUAAAAUAACUGUAAAACUAGAAUAAAGAGUUCCUUCCUUUGGUCCGGCCGCUGCCGCCCCUUCCCCCAGCCAGCCGUGCCCAACCCCGUCGGCCGCGCCCCGUCGCCCGCCGGCCAUGCCCCAUCGCCCGUUGGCCGCACUCCGUCCCUGCCGGCCGCACCCCAUCACCAUGCCGGCCGCGCCCACUCUCGCCAGCCACGCCCNNNNNNNNNNNNNNNNNNNNNNNNNNNNNNNNNNNNNNNNNNNNNNNNNNNNNNNNNNNNNNNNNNNNNNNNNNNNNNNNNNNNNNNNNNNNNNNNNNNNNNNNNNNNNNNNNNNNNNNNNNNNNNNNNNNNNNNNNNNNNNNNNNNNNNNNNNNNNNNNNNNNNNNNNNNNNNNNNNNNNNNNNNNNNNNNNNNNNNNNNNNNNNNNNNNNNNNNNNNNNNNNNNNNNNNNNNNNNNNNNNNNNNNNNNNNNNNNNNNNNNNNNNNNNNNNNNNNNNNNNNNNNNNNNNNNNNNNNNNNNNNNNNNNNNNNNNNNNNNNNNNNNNNNNNNNNNNNNNNNNNNNNNNNNNNNNNNNNNNNNNNNNNNNNNNNNNNNNNNNNCGCGCCCACCCUCGCCGGCCACGCCCCGUCGCCUCGGCCGGCCGCGCCCAGCCUCGCCGGCCACGCCCCGUCACCUCCGCUCGUCCAAUUCGAACCGGCGGUGCUCGAUUGCGGCGUCUAGCGGUCUUUUUCGGUGUGCGGUGAUGAAUUCCGGCGAGUUUAGGGCGGAUUCUGGCGAACUCCGCGGCGGCAUGUUUGCUCCGAUGAGGUUUGACCGGUAUACGGGGCCCCCUAGGUUCGGCCUUCAAACCUAAAAAUAUAAGGGUUUCGGAUGAGCAUUUUCGGUGGCCAUUAAAAAAUUUAUGGGUUGGACCACUUUUACGGUUUCUAUUCUAGACACUUUUUUCGACCAAAACUGUAAAACGCAAAAAUUAUAAGGGUUUGACCACUUAUACUGGGUCUGCUAGAGAUCAUCUAAAGCAACCACCCUCCUGCGCAUGCUAAAAUGCUAUUUCGGCGCUGUCAGAAAAAAUUAGCGUGCCACUCUGCCACGCGCCUGUUGGAGAUGCUCUUAGAAACCCAUCCAUGGUUGAAAUCUGACUGAAAAAAUGGCUGAAAUUGAAUUACUACAUUAUAAAAUCUGUUUGUCAAAGGUUUGAUGAAACUUUGGCAGAUUGGUCAGCAUGGCAGUGCUGAUUUUACAUACGUCUUUCGUUUUUUCUUCUGGACAAUUUUAACUUUGUUGGUCAAAAUUCGGUAAAAUACCCGCGACAUGUGCCACAACCACCUUUAGAUCAAGUGAGGGGGCUGUAAAUUAAACAGGACAUGUGUUCGGGGUUGAAAUAUUCUCACUUCUCUCGAAACCAUUGCAUCUGGGAACGGUUGAGAGACGGGACAAAACCUACAAACGUACCCAUUAACGAACCCCGAACCUUUUAUUUCUACUUUCUAGAAGAGAAUGAUUACUUUUGAUUAGGAGGAAUCCAUCCAUGGCCACACCAUCUCCAGCGUUAAACAAGCUGCUGCCUGCCCCCAUCUCACGAGUCACAUCGGAGACACCAUUGCCCUGAAGAAACAGCGUAUACCACAUGUUACUUCCUCAGAUGCGCUCAUCCACUCUACAGCAUGGCAAAUCUGAAUUUUAUGCAGCUCCAUUAUUUAUCCAUCAUACGACAAAAGGUUCACACCACAAUUCAUGCACCCUUGCUUGCACCAGAACACGCACAUAACACCCACACACACAAGCCAGGCAAGGGACAGUCCACGCAGAGUGCACGCUUGCGACAACCAGAGCACAUCAAGGCUCGAAUUAUUCCAACCUAGACAGGGCCUACUGCUGCCCAUCACUACCGACACAAUGGGGGUGGGUCGGGUCUCCAAGCGGCGGGAGGGCUUAC